This 2904-nucleotide ribosomal RNA is filed under the name Escherichia coli. RNAcentral's name for it is "bacterial LSU rRNA". It matches the Rfam family "Bacterial large subunit ribosomal RNA". Lineage: Bacteria; Pseudomonadati; Pseudomonadota; Gammaproteobacteria; Enterobacterales; Enterobacteriaceae. The record is from RNAcentral.
UUAAGCGACUAAGCGUACACGGUGGAUGCCCUGGCAGUCAGAGGCGAUGAAGGACGUGCUAAUCUGCGAUAAGCGUCGGUAAGGUGAUAUGAACCGUUAUAACCGGCGAUUUCCGAAUGGGGAAACCCAGUGUGUUUCGACACACUAUCAUUAACUGAAUCCAUAGGUUAAUGAGGCGAACCGGGGGAACUGAAACAUCUAAGUACCCCGAGGAAAAGAAAUCAACCGAGAUUCCCCCAGUAGCGGCGAGCGAACGGGGAGCAGCCCAGAGCCUGAAUCAGUGUGUGUGUUAGUGGAAGCGUCUGGAAAGGCGCGCGAUACAGGGUGACAGCCCCGUACACAAAAAUGCACAUGCUGUGAGCUCGAUGAGUAGGGCGGGACACGUGGUAUCCUGUCUGAAUAUGGGGGGACCAUCCUCCAAGGCUAAAUACUCCUGACUGACCGAUAGUGAACCAGUACCGUGAGGGAAAGGCGAAAAGAACCCCGGCGAGGGGAGUGAAAAAGAACCUGAAACCGUGUACGUACAAGCAGUGGGAGCACGCUUAGGCGUGUGACUGCGUACCUUUUGUAUAAUGGGUCAGCGACUUAUAUUCUGUAGCAAGGUUAACCGAAUAGGGGAGCCGAAGGGAAACCGAGUCUUAACUGGGCGUUAAGUUGCAGGGUAUAGACCCGAAACCCGGUGAUCUAGCCAUGGGCAGGUUGAAGGUUGGGUAACACUAACUGGAGGACCGAACCGACUAAUGUUGAAAAAUUAGCGGAUGACUUGUGGCUGGGGGUGAAAGGCCAAUCAAACCGGGAGAUAGCUGGUUCUCCCCGAAAGCUAUUUAGGUAGCGCCUCGUGAAUUCAUCUCCGGGGGUAGAGCACUGUUUCGGCAAGGGGGUCAUCCCGACUUACCAACCCGAUGCAAACUGCGAAUACCGGAGAAUGUUAUCACGGGAGACACACGGCGGGUGCUAACGUCCGUCGUGAAGAGGGAAACAACCCAGACCGCCAGCUAAGGUCCCAAAGUCAUGGUUAAGUGGGAAACGAUGUGGGAAGGCCCAGACAGCCAGGAUGUUGGCUUAGAAGCAGCCAUCAUUUAAAGAAAGCGUAAUAGCUCACUGGUCGAGUCGGCCUGCGCGGAAGAUGUAACGGGGCUAAACCAUGCACCGAAGCUGCGGCAGCGACGCUUAUGCGUUGUUGGGUAGGGGAGCGUUCUGUAAGCCUGCGAAGGUGUGCUGUGAGGCAUGCUGGAGGUAUCAGAAGUGCGAAUGCUGACAUAAGUAACGAUAAAGCGGGUGAAAAGCCCGCUCGCCGGAAGACCAAGGGUUCCUGUCCAACGUUAAUCGGGGCAGGGUGAGUCGACCCCUAAGGCGAGGCCGAAAGGCGUAGUCGAUGGGAAACAGGUUAAUAUUCCUGUACUUGGUGUUACUGCGAAGGGGGGACGGAGAAGGCUAUGUUGGCCGGGCGACGGUUGUCCCGGUUUAAGCGUGUAGGCUGGUUUUCCAGGCAAAUCCGGAAAAUCAAGGCUGAGGCGUGAUGACGAGGCACUACGGUGCUGAAGCAACAAAUGCCCUGCUUCCAGGAAAAGCCUCUAAGCAUCAGGUAACAUCAAAUCGUACCCCAAACCGACACAGGUGGUCAGGUAGAGAAUACCAAGGCGCUUGAGAGAACUCGGGUGAAGGAACUAGGCAAAAUGGUGCCGUAACUUCGGGAGAAGGCACGCUGAUAUGUAGGUGAAGUCCCUCGCGGAUGGAGCUGAAAUCAGUCGAAGAUACCAGCUGGCUGCAACUGUUUAUUAAAAACACAGCACUGUGCAAACACGAAAGUGGACGUAUACGGUGUGACGCCUGCCCGGUGCCGGAAGGUUAAUUGAUGGGGUUAGCCGCAAGGCGAAGCUCUUGAUCGAAGCCCCGGUAAACGGCGGCCGUAACUAUAACGGUCCUAAGGUAGCGAAAUUCCUUGUCGGGUAAGUUCCGACCUGCACGAAUGGCGUAAUGAUGGCCAGGCUGUCUCCACCCGAGACUCAGUGAAAUUGAACUCGCUGUGAAGAUGCAGUGUACCCGCGGCAAGACGGAAAGACCCCGUGAACCUUUACUAUAGCUUGACACUGAACAUUGAGCCUUGAUGUGUAGGAUAGGUGGGAGGCUUAGAAGUGUGGACGCCAGUCUGCAUGGAGCCGACCUUGAAAUACCACCCUUUAAUGUUUGAUGUUCUAACGUUGACCCGUAAUCCGGGUUGCGGACAGUGUCUGGUGGGUAGUUUGACUGGGGCGGUCUCCUCCUAAAGAGUAACGGAGGAGCACGAAGGUUGGCUAAUCCUGGUCGGACAUCAGGAGGUUAGUGCAAUGGCAUAAGCCAGCUUGACUGCGAGCGUGACGGCGCGAGCAGGUGCGAAAGCAGGUCAUAGUGAUCCGGUGGUUCUGAAUGGAAGGGCCAUCGCUCAACGGAUAAAAGGUACUCCGGGGAUAACAGGCUGAUACCGCCCAAGAGUUCAUAUCGACGGCGGUGUUUGGCACCUCGAUGUCGGCUCAUCACAUCCUGGGGCUGAAGUAGGUCCCAAGGGUAUGGCUGUUCGCCAUUUAAAGUGGUACGCGAGCUGGGUUUAGAACGUCGUGAGACAGUUCGGUCCCUAUCUGCCGUGGGCGCUGGAGAACUGAGGGGGGCUGCUCCUAGUACGAGAGGACCGGAGUGGACGCAUCACUGGUGUUCGGGUUGUCAUGCCAAUGGCACUGCCCGGUAGCUAAAUGCGGAAGAGAUAAGUGCUGAAAGCAUCUAAGCACGAAACUUGCCCCGAGAUGAGUUCUCCCUGACCCUUUAAGGGUCCUGAAGGAACGUUGAAGACGACGACGUUGAUAGGCCGGGUGUGUAAGCGCAGCGAUGCGUUGAGCUAACCGGUACUAAUGAACCGUGAGGCUUAACCUU